RNAcentral lists this non-coding RNA (222 nucleotides) under unclassified sequences. RNAcentral describes it as "Clostridiales-3 RNA". It matches the Rfam family "Clostridiales-3 RNA". The record is from Rfam by way of RNAcentral.
GAUACAUAAGGGUCGAAGAGGUGGCUCAUGAAUAUGGAUUUAGUGUUGAGGAAACUGAAUAUAUAGCUAUCCUCAAAAGGCUAAAAGAGGAGAUAGUGCUUCUGAUAAUUCAGAAGGGCGUCGUGAAACACAUUUUGUGGCUCGUCUGUAACUCCCGGAGGUGAGAACACCUCUUUGUACACGGGGCGAUAUAGGAGUCUAGAAGACUGGCGUGUACCUACA